Oryza sativa Japonica Group (Japanese rice) is the source of this 7065-nucleotide non-coding RNA. Lineage: Eukaryota; Viridiplantae; Streptophyta; Magnoliopsida; Poales; Poaceae. The record is from RefSeq and is a predicted model, not a curated record.
GCCCAUUGAGAGCCCAGAUGACUCAUGGGCUCGUGGCCCGUGCAGCGCGGUCGCCGCCGCAAGGUUUAUCUCCUCCGCGAGGCCGCGACCUGACGCCGCCGCCGCCGGCGGCCGCCGCCUCGUCGUCGAUGAGCUCGCCAUGGCGCCCUGCCGAACCCUAUCUACGCCGCCGCGGUAGCAGGGUUCAGAUUCUGCAGGGCCGCAGGCGCGGACUAGGCGAAGAAGGGCCGUCCCCCGUUCAUGGCACUGCCGCGCGAGCGUCCCAUUCCCCACUUUCUCGCCGGUCGCGAUGAGCAGUAGGCCAGAGUCUGAAAUGUGUUCGUCUCAGCCGGCUCAAUCGUUCGGCGGGCGCUGACGUUGAAGUAUAAUGCAGCAACAGGUGGUCCAAGAUUGUAAAAUGCAGAGAAAUCUCUGACGUUGAAAUUUUGCCGCCAUCCUGGAGCAUAAACUGUUUGUCGUGCUUCCUGUUUGAAUAGCACAAAAACAAGCCGAUGAAUUCCAGCCGGUGGCCGUGGAGCUUCGUACGGAACUAUUUCAUUGCCUGAAACAAAAAGAGUGUGCCUCUCUGAUAUCCUUGGGAUGAGCCAGAUGAGAGGAUCAGGCGUGCUUCAUGUAUGCACUACCGAAGGUAUGCUUAUAAGUUAUAACUCCAGCAUUGCAGCUUGGCUCCAAAGAAGUCUGUAAUUUGUAAUGCUACUAGUGUUUUUUGUGGGAAAACAGUAGUGCUGUUUUUGAACUAUUAUUAUUUUCAGUUGCUCACAUGAUUAUUCCUAGUUGGCAGCUUCUUUAGGGAGGGACAGAGGGCAUGUGAUAACUUUACACCUUGGUUUUCCUUAAAACUCCAGAAACGAUAGUAUUAUGUUUUCACUUGGAAAUGAAAGAUCUCAUGUUUGAAAAAUCUGAAGUAUGUCACACAGAUUAGGUGUGUGUUUCUGUGGGGCCCCACACAACAGAACCAUUGGUCAACCAUAGGCAGGUAAUACCAUAAUAGCCACAUAUACUAAUUUCAUCAGUGGGCCCCACAGAUGAUCUGAGGUACUCAACUUGAGGCGCUGUUGGGCAGAUAACAACCGUCCAACUGCUUAACCUGCAUCAAAAAUAGGUGCAGUCAUACAUUAGAGCGGGGCCCAUCCCCCUCUCCCUAAGUUGCUUUACAUUUGAUUCACAGGUAUGCAUAUUUAAGAUGACUGUAUAUAGUUUAGUAGUCAAUAGAUCAAUCGCAGACUUACUUUAAAAUUAGGGACCUAAUGUUUUUUUCUUAAUUUUUGCAAUGUCACCUUAAAUCCAAAAGAACAACAAGUGUAGGGAUAUAGAACUAGAUUUUCCAAUUAAAGAAAAGGAAUCUCGGUAUGUGAUAGUCUGAUAGAUGACCUACUAAAUGCACCUUUAAUGAAAAUGCCAUUGAUUUUCAGUGUAUAUGACAUCUAAAAUAAUUAUUGACUUGAUCCUUGUCUUGUUAGCUUAGUACAGGAGAUAAAUUGAUUGUCUCAAGCUCCCUAUACUUUCUUUGCAAAAUUUGACUGUGUAAUCAUGGUCGAUAGUAACAUAAACUAUGAAGACCAAUGCAUUCUUUUGAAUCAUUCCUUAGCAUUUUUAUCAUGUCUUUUACUUUUGCAUAUGUAACACCCUCGUAGAUUUCUACCUUGACACCCCAAACACCAGCCUACUAUACAAAUAAAAUUCAUCAAGUUUCAUACAGUAAACUUGUUUACUUAAAAUCUUGGAAAUAUAUGCACUAACAUAAUUUUAGCAAAACAAUUAUUUCAUGGAAGUAUUAAGGUAUUUGGUAUUUUGGUUGGAUCAAACCAACGAUAUUUCCAAACAGUUAUAUUAGUUAUAGUAGUAUUUCCAUAGUUACUCCUGUCUCUAUCAUCAUUUAUUUUUCCAACUUGACAUAGAUUUUACUAACCACGUGGUUAUUCCAUUGCCAAGGGUACUUGUGAAAUGUUUACAACCAUAUACAACAAUAAAUAUCAUGAUUUCUGUUUGAAACAAAUGGCAAAUAUUGGAAGUGAUUUUGCUGUUUGUAUAAUAAAAAUGUUUGCUGAUCUGUACAUGCAAUUACUCAACAUUGGAGGUUAUGUAGGAGUAAGAUGUUACCCACCAAAACGUGCAUCUAUUGCCUCUGGGAUGUCUGUCACCAACCUGUAGAAAAAUAACAAGAAGAAAGAAACAAGACCCUAGCUUUAGCUCUUUGAUUAGGCUCAGAAGUAAGAACUGCUUGUAAAGGACACAAAUAAUAAGAUACUAUGAUAAGUUAUAUGUUAAUUAAAGAAACUUCAUGUAUGGUCAAAUUGGAAAUCUUUACUCUUAUGAAAAACGCAAAUCUAUGUAAGGAGAUAUGAGUUGCAGAAACAUGGAUUAGAUUAGAUAAUCAAUAUAUAAUAUUUUAGAUAUAUUAUGGUACCACAUUGUUAGUAGUACACAGCAAGCAAGAAUUUGCCCGAUCAACUGAAAAAAAAAAUUCAGUGUUGCAAAUGACCAUCAUGUUACAUCAGAUCAUCCUUUGAAAGUUUAAUUAAGAUUAGUUACUCAUAAGUUUGUUUGGUGGUAAAGGGCACAGUUCUUCUAUAUUAAUAUGCCAUAGCAAGGCUCUUAAUACAUCUUCUAGAUUAGUUAGCUUCUAAUUAUAUUCAAAAUCAUAAACUUCCCAGUUACAAAUUUUGAUAUUAGCUCCAGCACUUGUUUAUAAACAUAAUAAGAAUGAUAUUACAAUUCUUAUUUAUAAUGAUAUUAGUAUUCAAAAUCCAUGAUACUAGUAUUCCCAGUUACAAAUUAUACAAAAUCCAUUAGUCUUGUUUAUAAACAUAAUAAGAAAAACAUAAAUUUCAAUUUAACACGCAUUAAUGUUAUUUACUUAUUUUAGCCAUAUGUGACAUUACCUGUAAGCAUUAGCUCCAGCACAUGUUUCUUUUUUAAGGUAUCUUUAAAUUCUAGCCAUUUUUUCCCUGUAACCGUAUAAUUGCAUGCAUGCAUGCUAUCUACAUGAAGUCCUUCAUGCUGAUAUCAUAAAUAAUGCCGUCAAUUAAUGUUUUUUCAUAGUUUAUCAUCUUAUGUUGAUAUGUUAAUUGAUUGUAGCACCCAAUAAUGAUGUCCUUAGAGUUACUCAGGAUCAUGACUGGUUUCUCCUUACUUUAUCUAUGAAGAAAUUAAUAGGCAAACUUCCAGAGUACCUUCUCCAUGAGAAGUUGGUAAGGUGCCUUCUUAAAUACUAGAAAGUAUAAACUAUUAAGAUAAUAUGAAAUAGUUUGAAGUAUUGGCAAUUUUAUUUUGAAGCUACAUAAUAGUGCCAAUUUAAGAACUAAUGAUUGAUGAUAAGAAAUGACAAUCUGAACAAAGAGACUUAGGUUGAGGGAAUUAUGGUGAUGAAAAGAAUUAAGUUAUCACAGAAAUUGUACUUUCUUACCCAAUAGCAUAUAGAACAAGAGUUCUUCAGCUGUUGAUGGUUGGAUAAGAAACACCCCCCUCCUUUUCGAGAGGGCUGCAUUCCAAUCCUGCAGGUUAUCUAGGUAAGGUGUUCUUGAACUAUAAACAUAACAAUAGUGUGGCAAGUAGCACUCAUUGGUUUCUUGCAAAAUGUGGCUUUGUUGAGUUUUUAGGAAGGCAUUAUGCAACUCUUUGCUUGUAUAAUAAAUUCAAUAAGCUCACCAAUGCAAAUAUUCCCUGUAUUCUGGUUUGCUUGGACUUGGCGCAUCAGGAUCCACCAUAACCUUAUAAAAGGAAAACCUUUUAUUUUAGCAUUUAGACAUAGAUAUCAAGGACUAGUUGCAUGCCUUAUAGAGGACCUAGGGCAUAGCUCAAUAAAGCAAACAGAAAAAAAGAGAGACAAAAAGGUAUUCUGGAGACCAUAAAAAAUAAAAACCAUAUAAGUUUUCACCCUCUCCAUGCUAAUUAUGUGAGGUUUUGUGAUAAAAUUAAAGUUGUAGAGUGCCUAUUAGUGGUUAGAGCAGCACUGUGCAGGGAAGUGGGAUCAGCUUAGUAUCUUACAGUCUUACUUUUCUACAGUGAGUUCAGGCUGGAUAUUUUAGUGCGUGAUAUUUCAUGGAUAAUUUGAAAUGUGUGGCAGUGUCUAUUGUUGUGGAAAGGAUGCUGAUAUGAGAAAGUAUGCCAAAUUACCAACUUUAAUACAGCAGAGAUUCAAUUUCUCACUUUAAGUAAAUCAGACAUGACAGGGCCUUAUCCUAUCCAAUAUUCCUGUACCACAGUGUACAAACAAGACAGGGGUGCACAAGUAUAUUCUAAAGUAGAUUGUACCAUAUGUGUACUUGAUCAUUACCAAAAGGUUACAAUAUGAUUACUUUUUUAGCAAAUACCAGCUGGCAUUAUGAUUUAGUUUUCCUGCCACUACAAUAUUCUGUGAAACCUAAUAAGCUAUAUCCCUCAUAUUUCUAUUAUCGACAGUACCUAUGGAUCUGUUGAAUAAUCUAUACUUGUGCAAGUUAGAUGGCCUUUUCUGGUGAAGCACUAAUUAGAUCUGUGCAUUAUUUCUUUAAAACGUAGGGUGCCUGGAGUAACAAACAUGUUUCAUUAAUUAGUGUGCAUAUGCAUGAGUCACUCCAUAAGAAAUUAUCUAAUAUUCUAGAAAAUAAAUAUUACCUCUUCUGACACGAGAGAAAUCUUUUUAACUUGAAGCUUUGUUUGGAUCAAAAGUCAUUUUCACCUUACCUAACAGAAUGGUUCAAAAGACCUGUACACUACUCUGAUCAUGAUCCUACAAAUUAUGACACUUACAAGUGUGUAGAGCUUCGUUUGGUCACGACCUUCAAUCUCAACAUGUGGUGCAGUGAAAACAGCAGAUGAUCGUACUCCAGUUCCAUUUGUAAUCUCCUUCUCACCAUAAUUAAUCCUCAUUGCAGCUGACUUUAUGAAAGGAUCCAACACAUCGCCAAUUACCUGGCUCAAUGCCAAAGGAUCCCUACCUCGUGACAUAAUUUUAUUGAUCCUUGGUGAGAAGGGAAUUGGGAAAUAUUCAAUAAGGUGGAAGGGCUAGCUAACAAAUUUUCUGUGGGAAAGAACAGAGCGGUUCGAUGUAAAUUUAUAUUAGGAGUGAAGCAUCCACUUUAUGUUCACAACAUUCCAUUGAGCACUAUGAGCAAAUGGAAUCUUGCUUUUUAUAUAAUAUUUAUUUCCCUUAUAGUUGCUUCUGUAUUGCAUAUGGUCUUUGUGAUUGAUAUCUAUGGUCAGUUUUUCAUGCAUAUAUUCCCCAAAGAUCUGGAGGUAUGUUUAAAGCUCCAAGAGUUAGCCUCCCCUGCAUGGCGCCUUGCCUGGGCUAGGCCAAAGGUUUACGAUGAGUCAUUUCGUGUUCAAUGAUACUUCUCUGAGUGGUGAGCACUCAGCUGGAGAGAGAAUCUUUUGAUCGACAUCACAAUGCAAGAGUAUGAAACCUGGGGAGGUAGAGGCAGGUCAUUAGCAAUCUUCUUUCUUCUUUUAUUUGCUUUUCCUUGACUGUAACGGGAGUAUCUAGUACUUCAUCCUUCAUCCUUUGGUGAAAAACUGCUAUCUGGACCUGUUCUACAUGACCCUUGCAUACUUAACUAAAUAUAAUGAUAAAGGCCCUACAAAAUUUUCAAUAAAAUUUUAGCAAUUGCUCGUCAAGUUUCUCAUAUAAAUGAGAUAAAUACGAUUCUUACAAGAGUCUCUUUCGACAAAAUUGUAACAUUUUUCAGUGCAGAGGAAAAAGAUUAAUGCAUGUCUGGGAACAAGUUAUUCACUGUGGACACUUCUGUUACAGGCAUGCAGGUACAACUUUCCUUGUCCACUAAAUACAGCUGUACAGGAUCAUUCGGACCAAACAGGAACAGGAAAAGCAUCUGCCUUGUUCGAGUUGCAGCAUCAUUGUCUUGAUAUCAUGAGAAUGAGGCCACAUUCCAUUUUCCUUGCAGCACUUAAAAUCCAGUUGCACACAGAAGUUUCACCUUUGAUGCUACAAACGGGCAUUGGACUUUUCGAAGGACGGAGGAUGGAUACCAUCACACUAUGGGGUUGUGUUCAAGAACACCACAUGUAGCUGCCUUUGCUCUCCAUUCAAAAACAUCACAUGCGACUGCCUCGGCUCUCCACAUAAACAUCAAUGUCGAGAAUGCCAUGAAGAAUCCAUGCAGAUUUUAAUAUUUUUCAGCUGGGAAUACAGUGAGGCAAGGAAUAUACUCGACAUCCAAAAAUCUUGUUGGAAUAAAGGUACAGUCUUCAGAUCAGAUGAGCAUCUCCACCAGGGCACUGCAUGGCUGCAACCAGAAAAGCUGAAAGAUUAACUUUGAAUUGUUGAAAGCUCUUGCAUGUCAGUCACAAAAGGGGGGAAAAGGCACCAAGGAAUUUCCCCGCACUGCAAACAACCUACACCCAGCUUCUGUGGAUGAACUCGUGCCAUGCCAGUAUGCCACCGUCCCUGCUGCCUCAGGCCCCUCUAGAUUGUUCGUGGACCAGCUGGAAACUGUGCUAAAGCUGAUCUGAUCUCCAGGUGAGAGCUGAAUCUAUUCUGAUGGGGAGCAAUCUUAUCAUUUUGACAGCAUGCAUCUGAAGGUGCUAGUGGAUAAGUGGAAGCUUACUGAAUACUCUUUUCUGCAAAAUUGACCAGUGAUGAAUCUCUUAUAACAGGUGAUACAUGACAAGCUUCGUUGCUGCAGAAGAAUGCAGGGUCAGGUGACCUGGAAAGAUUGAUGAGAAGAAUUUGAGAAUCUUGUACAGCAAAUUGGAUGGAGAUAAGGUGAAUGGCUGCGGUCCACUUCAAAGGUGAACUGGGACCAGCCGUGCAUACAGAAACAACGUCUCUCAUUUGUCCCGGUGCCUGCAUAAACAAUGUGAGCGUGAACGUCAAAGUGAAGCUCAACACAGUUCUUCUGAUACUCUCUCUUGUUGGUCCAUAUUAUAAGGUGUUCUGUUUUUCAUAAGUCAAACUUCUCCAACAUUGAUCAAGUUUAUGAAAAAAACACAUCAAUCUACAACAUUAGAUUAGUUUAUUAAAUCCACCUUAAAAAGGUUUUGAUAGUGUAUUGGACGUAUGUAUUAUACUACCUAUGUUUUAGAUUAUAAGACGUUUUAACUUUGGUCAAAGUUAAAUUGUUUUAA